This 497-nucleotide ribosomal RNA is filed under the name uncultured bacterium. RNAcentral describes it as "partial 16S ribosomal RNA". It matches the Rfam family "Bacterial small subunit ribosomal RNA", at positions 28 to 507 of the family's 1533-position model. The record is from RNAcentral.
GAUGAACGCUGGCGGCGUGCCUAAUACAUGCCAGUCGAGCGAACAGACGAGGAGCUUGCUCCUCUGACGUUAGCGGCGGACGGGUGAGUAACACGUGGAUAACCUGCCUAUAAGACUGGGAUAACUUCGGGAAACCGGAGCUAAUACCGGAUAAUAUAUUGAACCGCAUGGUUCAAUAGUGAAAGACGGUUUUGCUGUCACUUAUAGAUGGAUCCGCGCCGCAUUAGCUAGUUGGUAAGGUAACGGCUUACCAAGGCGACGAUGCGUAGCCGACCUGAGAGGGUGAUCGGCCACACUGGAACUGAGACACGGUCCAGACUCCUACGGGAGGCAGCAGUAGGGAAUCUUCCGCAAUGGGCGAAAGCCUGACGGAGCAACGCCGCGUGAGUGAUGAAGGUCUUCGGAUCGUAAAACUCUGUUAUUAGGGAAGAACAAAUGUGUAAGUAACUAUGCACGUCUUGACGGUACCUAAUCAGAAAGCCACGGCUAACUACGUG